GUGCCAGCCGCCGCGGUAAUACGGAGGAUGCAAGCGUUAUCCGGAAUUAUUGGGCGUAAAGCGUCCGCAGGUGGUUGUACAAGUCUGCUGUCAAAGCGCGGAGCUUAACUCCGUAAAGGCGGUGGAAACUGUGCGACUAGAGUUCGGUAGGGGUCGCGGGAAUUCCCAGUGUAGCGGUGAAAUGCGUAGAUAUUGGGAAGAACACCGGUGGCGAAAGCGCGCGACUGGACCGAGACUGACACUCAUGGACGAAAGCUAGGGGAGCGAAAGGGAUUAGAUACCCCCGUAGUCC
RNAcentral lists this ribosomal RNA (292 nucleotides) under uncultured bacterium. RNAcentral describes it as "partial 16S ribosomal RNA". It matches the Rfam family "Bacterial small subunit ribosomal RNA", at positions 505 to 796 of the family's 1533-position model. The record is from RNAcentral.